Salmo salar (Atlantic salmon) is the source of this 71-nucleotide non-coding RNA. The record is from Rfam. NCBI's taxonomy places the organism in Eukaryota, Metazoa, Chordata, Actinopteri, Salmoniformes, Salmonidae.
UCCCUUGUGGCUCAGUUAGUAGAACAUGGCGCUUGCAACGCCCGAGUUGUGGGUUCGAUUCCCAUGGGGAC